This 119-nucleotide ribosomal RNA is filed under the name Triticum aestivum (bread wheat). The record is from RNAcentral. Lineage: Eukaryota; Viridiplantae; Streptophyta; Magnoliopsida; Poales; Poaceae.
GGAUCCGAUCAUACCAGCACUAAAGCACCGGAUCCCAUCAGAACUCCGAAGUUAAGCGUGCUUGGGCGAGAGUAGUACUAGGAUUGGUGACCUCCUGGGAAGUCCUCGUGUUGCAUUCC